This 79-nucleotide transfer RNA is filed under the name Flavobacteriaceae bacterium. RNAcentral describes it as "tRNA-Ala". It matches the Rfam family "tRNA", at positions 9 to 71 of the family's 71-position model. From Rfam's summary of the family: Transfer RNA (tRNA) molecules are approximately 80 nucleotides in length. Their secondary structure includes four short double-helical elements and three loops (D, anti-codon, and T loops). Further hydrogen bonds mediate the characteristic L-shaped molecular structure. tRNAs have two regions of fundamental functional importance: the anti-codon, which is responsible for specific mRNA codon recognition, and the 3' end, to which the tRNAs corresponding amino acid is attached (by aminoacyl-tRNA synthetases). tRNAs cope with the degeneracy of the genetic code in two manners: having more than one tRNA (with a specific anti-codon) for a particular amino acid; and 'wobble' base-pairing, i.e. permitting non-standard base-pairing at the 3rd anti-codon position. Lineage: Bacteria; Pseudomonadati; Bacteroidota; Flavobacteriia; Flavobacteriales; Flavobacteriaceae. The record is from RNAcentral.
GGCUUAGCUAAUAAAUUAUGUUUUGUAGAGCGCUUGCCUGGCAGGCAAGAGGUCAGCGGUUCGAAUCCGCUAUUCUCCA